This is a non-coding RNA of Chrysemys picta bellii (western painted turtle), 1056 nucleotides long. NCBI's taxonomy places the organism in Eukaryota, Metazoa, Chordata, Testudines, Emydidae. The record is from RefSeq and is a predicted model, not a curated record.
UACUGCUAUCUGCCAGUUUUGUUCCUAUUUUUAGCAUCUCUUGGUAGAGAAGUAGACAUUUUCCUUUGUGCCAAUGUUGGUCUGGGGGCAGCUGCCAGCUGUGAGCCCUGCUCCAAAAUCCUGCCCCUAAAAGUGAGCAAGCUCAGAACACAGGGAAGAGAAAAACAGGGGUGCAGCUAUCGGUGCUGUUGGGAGGAUGUGAUUUGGAAGCAGGACGCGGCGUGGGAGGAAAGAAAGGAGGGGCCCCUGCUAGAGAUGAAAUACUUCGACAGUGAAGCAGUUUGAACAGGAGACACAUUUGUCUGUACCCUGGAAGCCCAUCUUUGUGUAAAGGGCUAGACAGACCAAACCUCUUCUACUUUACAAAUGGGCCGUAUGCCAGCGAUGCACAGCACAGGCUUGGCCAAGGCAGCUCGGAAACCUCCAAGUAAAGCGAAGAGUGAAACUCGAGAGAAGAGUUGUCAAGUCUGUAAAUGACUCAGCUUUGACUUUGAAGAGGAAGAUGCCUCCCCUCUCCUGUGCUCUCUGGCUGUUUUAUACUCUUCAGAGCAACACCCCCCCCCAGCGCCCCAGGAAUACGGGGUCGUGCGGACGUGGCAUGUUGUACGUGCCGAAGGGACACGGUCAGCAGUGGGGACUCGAAAGAAUGCUCCCCGGAGCCGAGUGCUGGGCCGGGACACCCCAGUCUGCUGUCAGGGAAACAGCCGCAGGCCCCUGAUGCAGCACUCUGACUACAGCUGGGCAGAGUUUUUUUAAUUUGCCAAAAAGAGGCAGUUUUGAGGCAACAAAAGCAUUUGCGAAGUUGGGGCGAAUUCAGCAAAUUGUUCUGACUUUUUUCCAGAAUUUUUGUCCUCCCUUUCUAUUGGGUCAAAACUGAUUGUUUCAACAUUUCCAACACAAACCGUUUCAACAUUUUGUUUAGAAAAAAGCGUUUGUUUAACCCCAAUGAAAUCUUUUCAGUUUUUCGUUUAGACAUGAAAAAAAAUUAUUAAAAAAAACCAAUCAGGGUUUAGCUUUGAUUUUUUUCUGGAUGUUUUUGGUUCAGCCACCAAACUA